This 493-nucleotide ribosomal RNA is filed under the name uncultured bacterium. RNAcentral describes it as "partial 16S ribosomal RNA". It matches the Rfam family "Bacterial small subunit ribosomal RNA", at positions 899 to 1397 of the family's 1533-position model. The record is from RNAcentral.
ACUCAAAGGAAUUGACGGGGACCCGCACAACUGGUGGAGCGUGUGGUUUAAUUUGAGACGAAGCAAAAAACCUUACCAGGGCUUGACAUGUUACCGUUUUAUACCUAUGGAAACACUGGUAGAUCCUGAAAAGGAUGGUAAUGCAGGUGCUGCAUGGCUGUCGUCAGCUCGUGCCGUGAGGUGUUCCCUUAAGUGGGGAAACGAGCGCAACCCCCAUGGAAUGUUAAAUAUUCAUUUCAGACAGCCCCGAUCAUAUCGGGGAGGAAGGAGGGGAAGACGUCAAGUCAGCACGGCCCUUAUGCCCUGGGUCACACACACCCUACAAUGGCGAAUAACAAAGAGCUGCAAGCCGGCAACGGCAAGCUAAUCUCAGAAAUUUCGCCUCAGUUCAGAUUGGGGGCUGCAACCCGCCCCCAUGAAGCCGGAAUCAGUAGUAAUCGCGGAUCAGCAGGCCGCGGUGAAUACGUUCUCGGGUCUUGUACACACCGCCCGU